GAUGAACGCUGGCGGCAUGCCUUACACAUGCAAGUCGAACGGUAACGGGCCUUCGGGCGCCGACGAGUGGCGAACGGGUGAGUAAUGCAUCGGAACGUGCCCAGUGGUGGGGGAUAGCCCGGCGAAAGCCGGAUUAAUACCGCAUACGACCUACGGGUGAAAGCGGGGGACCUUCGGGCCUCGCGCCAUUGGAGCGGCCGAUGUCAGAUUAGGUAGUUGGUGGGGUAAAGGCCUACCAAGCCGAGGAUCUUUAGCUGGUCUUAGAGGACGACCAGCCACACUGGGGCUGAGACCCUGCCCAGACUCCUACGGGAGGCAGCAGUGGGGAAUUUUGGACAAUGGGCGCAAGCCUGAUGCAGCCAUGUCGCGUGCGGGAAGAAGGCCUUCGGGUUGUAAACCGCUUUUGUCAGGGAAGAAAUCUCGCGGGCCAAUACCCUGCGAGGAUGACGGUACCUGAAGAAUAAGCACCGGCUAACUACGUGCCAGCCGCCGCGGUAA
RNAcentral lists this ribosomal RNA (498 nucleotides) under uncultured bacterium. RNAcentral describes it as "partial 16S ribosomal RNA". It matches the Rfam family "Bacterial small subunit ribosomal RNA", at positions 28 to 523 of the family's 1533-position model. The record is from RNAcentral.